RNAcentral lists this ribosomal RNA (253 nucleotides) under uncultured bacterium. RNAcentral describes it as "partial 16S ribosomal RNA". It matches the Rfam family "Bacterial small subunit ribosomal RNA", at positions 524 to 776 of the family's 1533-position model. The record is from RNAcentral.
GACAGAGGGGGCAAGCGUUGCUCGGAAUCACUGGGCGUAAAGGGCGCGUAGGCGGCCGCCUAAGUCAGACGUGAAAUCCCUCGGCUCAACCGGGGAACUGCGUCUGAUACUGGGUGGCUUGAAUCCGGGAGAGGGAUGCGGAAUUCCAGGUGUAGCGGUGAAAUGCGUAGAUAUCUGGAGGAACACCGGUGGCGAAGGCGGCAUCCUGGACCGGCAUUGACGCUGAGGCGCGAAAGCCAGGGGAGCAAACGGG